This 413-nucleotide ribosomal RNA is filed under the name Serratia marcescens. RNAcentral's name for it is "bacterial SSU rRNA". It matches the Rfam family "Bacterial small subunit ribosomal RNA", at positions 127 to 535 of the family's 1533-position model. Lineage: Bacteria; Pseudomonadati; Pseudomonadota; Gammaproteobacteria; Enterobacterales; Yersiniaceae. The record is from RNAcentral.
UGCCUGAUGGAGGGGGAUAACUACUGGAAACGGUAGCUAAUACCGCAUAACGUCGCAAGACCAAAGAGGGGGACCUUCGGGCCUCUUGCCAUCAGAUGUGCCCAGAUGGGAUUAGCUAGUAGGUGGGGUAAUGGCUCACCUAGGCGACGAUCCCUAGCUGGUCUGAGAGGAUGACCAGCCACACUGGAACUGAGACACGGUCCAGACUCCUACGGGAGGCAGCAGUGGGGAAUAUUGCACAAUGGGCGCAAGCCUGAUGCAGCCAUGCCGCGUGUGUGAAGAAGGCCUUCUGGUUGUAAAGCACUUUCAGCGAGGAGGAAGGUGGUGAACUUAAUACGUUCAUCAAUUGACGUUACUCGCAGAAGAAGCACCGGCUAACUCCGUGCCAGCAGCCGCGGUAAUACGGAGGGUGC